Molecule: non-coding RNA, 97 nt
Rfam family: Bacterial small signal recognition particle RNA
About the family: The signal recognition particle (SRP) is a universally conserved ribonucleoprotein involved in the co-translational targeting of proteins to membranes. Archaeal SRP consists of a 7S RNA and homologues of the eukaryotic SRP19 and SRP54 proteins.
Source: Rfam
UCCGACUCCCCACGCGGCGUUAUCUUGCAAAACUCCCCCAGGGCCGGAAGGCAGCAAGGGUAUGCGGGCUCUGGCGGGUGCGUGGGGCGUCUUUGUU